GGAGCUAACGCGUUAAGUCGACCGCCUGGGGAGUACGGCCGCAAGGUUAAAACUCAAAUGAAUUGACGGGGGCCCGCACAAGCGGUGGAGCAUGUGGUUUAAUUCGAUGCAACGCGAAGAACCUUACCUACUCUUGACAUCCACGGAAUUCGGCAGAGAUGCCUUAGUGCCUUCGGGAACCGUGAGACAGGUGCUGCAUGGCUGUCGUCAGCUCGUGUUGUGAAAUGUUGGGUUAAGUCCCGCAACGAGCGCAACCCUUAUCCUUUGUUGCCAGCGAUUCGGUCGGGAACUCAAAGGAGACUGCCGGUGAUAAACCGGAGGAAGGUGGGGAUGACGUCAAGUCAUCAUGGCCCUUACGAGUAGGGCUACACACGUGCUACAAUGGCGCAUACAAAGAGAAGCGACCUCGCGAGAGCAAGCGGACCUCAUAAAGUGCGUCGUAGUCCGGAUCGGAGUCUGCAACUCGACUCCGUGAAGUCGGAAUCGCUAGUAAUCGUGGAUCAGAAUGCCACGGUGAAUACGUUCCCGGGCCUUGUACACACCGCCCGUCACACCAUGGG
RNAcentral lists this ribosomal RNA (560 nucleotides) under Pantoea sp. Its description in RNAcentral is "bacterial SSU rRNA". It matches the Rfam family "Bacterial small subunit ribosomal RNA", at positions 848 to 1408 of the family's 1533-position model. Lineage: Bacteria; Pseudomonadati; Pseudomonadota; Gammaproteobacteria; Enterobacterales; Erwiniaceae. The record is from RNAcentral.